This 337-nucleotide ribosomal RNA is filed under the name uncultured bacterium. RNAcentral's name for it is "bacterial SSU rRNA". It matches the Rfam family "Bacterial small subunit ribosomal RNA", at positions 29 to 350 of the family's 1533-position model. The record is from RNAcentral.
AACGAACGCUGGCGGCGUGGAUAAGACAUGCAAGUCGAACGGGAUUAUUUUUGUAGCAAUACCGAAAUAAUUCAGUGGCGAACGGGUGCGUAACACGUGGGCAAUCUGCCGAAAAGUGGGGGAUAGCUCGCCGAAAGGCGAAUUAGUACCGCAUGUGGUGAGGGACGACAUCUUCCUGAAUCCAAAGCCGGGGCAACCUGGCGCUUUUGUAGGAGCCCGCGGCCUAUCAGCUUGUUGGCGGGGUAACGGCCCACCAAGGCUAUGACGGGUAGGCUGGUCUGAGAGGACGACCAGUCACACUGGAACUGAGACACGGUCCAGACACCUACGGGUGGCA